AUGGCCUGGACUCCUCUGCUCCUCGCGCUCCUCUCUCACUGCACAGGGUCCUGGGCCCAGUUUGUGCUGACUCAGCCCCGCUCUGUGUCGGGGUCUCCGGGACAGAAGGCCGUCAUCUCCUGCACCCGCAGCAGCGGCAGCAUUGGGGGAGACUAUGUGCACUGGUACCAGCAGCGCCCGGGCAGUGCCCCCACCACCGUGAUCUAUGGAGAUGACAAAAGACCCUCGGGGGUCCCCGAUCGGAUCUCGGGCUCCAUCGACAGCUCCUCCAAUGCCGCCCACCUGACCAUCUCGGGGCUGCAGCCCGAGGACGAGGCCGACUACUACUGUCAGUCCUACCGUUAUGAUGGUGGCUACAAUAAGCACAGUGAUUCAGACUCAUGGGGAAGUGAGACAAAAACCCCCAGAGCCUCCAUCCUGGGGCUGCCCUCACCUGCCCCGCCAGGGGGCGCUCUCUGCUGCCUCCUGCUGGACGGUCUGUGUUGA
Eptesicus fuscus (big brown bat) is the source of this 486-nucleotide non-coding RNA. NCBI's taxonomy places the organism in Eukaryota, Metazoa, Chordata, Mammalia, Chiroptera, Vespertilionidae. The record is from the annotation of a RefSeq genome assembly.